Molecule: ribosomal RNA, 655 nt
Filed under: Globigerinoides conglobatus
Lineage: Eukaryota; Foraminifera; Rotaliida; Globigerinidae
Description: partial 18S ribosomal RNA
Rfam family: Eukaryotic small subunit ribosomal RNA (bases 1-574)
Source: RNAcentral
GUUCGUGGAGUGAUCUGUCUGCUUAAUUGCGUUUCAAAAUAUGAAUUUGAGUACCAGGUCCCAAGUGUUUCAAGUAAAUCUGUCUCUGAGUGUGAACUGUAUCUCUUCGGAUAUGCGACUAUCACUCUUAGGCAAUUAUGAUUUGCUUGUAGCCCCUGGUACUCUUUUGAACGCAACGGACGUGAUUGCAACCCCUUGUUGAGUUUGCUUCUCUUAGGAACUCUACGUCUACUGAUCCACCUACCUUAGCGGGUAGGUGGUGAGGUGGAUAAACUCGGGGGACUGCUGACUAUAACCAUUUCUCAAAACAGAGGAAGGUUGCGGCAAUAACAGGUCUGUGAUGCCCUCAGAUGUCCCGGGCUGCACACGUGCUACAAUGAGUAGCGCAGUGUGCACAUUUUGAAGAGUGAUAGGUGCUGGGGUUGUACAUUUUAAAGGGCUCGUCCUAGUAACCAACCGCCCCCAAGCAUCUAUCAACCUUCCCUUUACAGGGUGGGUAACCUCUUCGAAGUGCUGGUUUGAUUUCCCUAGUGUUUGUCAUAAUAAUCCUCGUCGCACCUACUCUAGGACAUAGUGAACAUUGUAGACUUUGUCAUAAUGAUUCCCGUCUUAGGUUUGCGACGCAUGCUUUUCCUGGUUGACUCAUCGUGGGAAC